GACGAACGCUGGCGGCGUGCUUAACACAUGCAAGUCGUACGGUAAGGCCCUUUCGGGGGUACACGAGUGGCGAACGGGUGAGUAACACGUGAGUAACCUGCCCACAACUUUGGGAUAACGCUAGGAAACUGGUGCUAAUACUGGAUAUGUGCUCCUGCUGCAUGGUGGGGGUUGGAAAGCUCCGGCGGUUGUGGAUGGACUCGCGGCCUAUCAGCUUGUUGGUGGGGUAGUGGCCUACCAAGGCGGCGACGGGUAGCCGGCCUGAGAGGGUGACCGGCCACAUUGGGACUGAGAGACGGCCCAGACUCCUACGGGAGGCAGCAGUGGGGAAUAUUGCACAAGGGGCGCAAGCCUGAUGCAGCAACGCCGCGUGCGGGAUGACGGCCUUCGGGUUGUAAACCGCUUUCAGCAGGGACGAAGCUUUUUGUGACGGUACCUGCAGAAGAAGCACCGGCUAACUACGUG
Molecule: ribosomal RNA, 465 nt
Filed under: uncultured bacterium
Lineage: Bacteria
Description: partial 16S ribosomal RNA
Rfam family: Bacterial small subunit ribosomal RNA
Source: RNAcentral